Molecule: long non-coding RNA, 2283 nt
Organism: Callithrix jacchus (white-tufted-ear marmoset)
Lineage: Eukaryota; Metazoa; Chordata; Mammalia; Primates; Cebidae
Source: Ensembl
UCUGUGCAGUCAGCAGAAAUAGCUUGGCCAAGCAGCCGGACACCUUCAGGUGACACAGACACACCCUGCAGGCUGCUGACAUCAGGCCCCCUCCACCAAAGACUCAUGCCAGGGAAGGCUGGGCUGGACCCAUAAUACCCUAGGGGCUGCACCAAAGUGAACUUGAAAAUGCAAAGUGCGAAUUCCUGAAUGUUGUAAGAAAUUGUUCUUUCAAAAUAUAAAAACAAGAAGUAAAAAUCCUUGUCUAAAAUAAUGCUGACAAAGUGACAAGUUCACCCAGUCUGAAUGCCUCAUCCUCUCACCAAAGUGACAUGUGAGUGAUCCUGGUGGGGAGAAGAGUAUUGGAAUAUUGCGGAGCGUCCGAGGCCGUGCAGCAGCAUGAGUGGAGAGCUGAGGAAGCAAAAGCCAGAACAUGAGACCCAGCCUGAGGGACCCUGGAGAGCUUCCUGGAAGAGGCAACAUCAUGCUGAGAAGGGCAGGCCCAGCAGCAGCUUGCCAGUGUCAGGAGGGAUAUGAUGCUCCAGGCAAAGACAGCUCAUGUGCAAAGCUAAUGGAACCAGAGUGCAGAGCAAAGUGGAAGCCACGUGAAAUUGAUGAGCAGGCAGAUCUGGACAGAAGCUUGUGUGUCCAGCCCAGUCCCAGCUUGUUAAGGACAUACAUCACCAUGACCUCUGUUAUUCCACAGAGAUUCUCACCUCGGGUUCAUCAGUGCUUUGUAGACAGUGGACAGUGACCCAAGUGGAAAAAGAAACAUCUCUUCUGACUCUUUGAGCUGAUUCCCCACUUAGGGGUAAGAAGGUAAAAUACCUGAGAUGUUACAACAAGUGAAGCUGAGGCCAGCCAGGCAAGCAGGAGGCUGAGGCUGAAAGCCCAGCCUUCAUGAAGGCUGCUUUGGAGGAGCAAAGAGCAAGCGUGUCUGUUGGUCCCACAGAGCAGAGGUCCCCAAAGGCCCUGCCAGUGAGGCGAGCAGAGAACAGGUGGGGUGGAGCUCCAGUCUUAGUUGGCUACAAGUGCCAAAGAACUAGAGACCCUGGUCAGGAAAACCGCAUAUCAGAGCACUGACUUCCCCUUCUCCUGUGCCUCCACAGCCUAAGACUGUGUAAAAGAACUCUGAAUAAAUUGCAGAUAGGAGGCAGGACUAACUUGCAGCUCCCAUCUGGAUGAACAGAGCAGUGUAUGGAGACUCACAUAAUGAACUUUUGCUCCAAGAACUACCAUAGCAACAUACUGAGAAAGCUGAGAUAAUCCACAGACCCUUUGAAGGAAGUGGAUUACUGCUGCAAGCCCCCAAAGACAGCCAAAAAACUCUGAUGACAAAGGACAUCAUCUCUUUGGAGAUCUAGGGCCCUGCCCACCACCUGAUCCUCCCUAUAUUAUGGCAGCUAAUUCACUCUUGAAAUUGCCACCUCCUGGCUUGAGGUCAACCAACGCAAAACUAGUUCAAUAAACAAAACUACAACCAAGGACCUUUGCAGAGUCCACUUCAUUCCCCUGCCACCUCCACUGGAGCAAGUGCUGGUAUCCACAACUGAGAUACCUGGAGACAGCUCAUAUCACAGGACUCUCUGCAGACACUCCCCAGUACCAGCCCAGAGCCUGGUAGCUCCGCUGGGUGGUUAGAUCUAAAGGAGAAAUAAAAAUUACUGCAGUUCAGCUCUCAGGAAGCCCUAUACCCAGGGUAAAGGGGAGAGUACCACCAUGGGACCAAAAGGAGCACCCUAUGGGACCAAAAAAUCUGAACAGCAGCCAUUGAGCCCCAGAUCUUACCUCUGACAUAGUCUACCCAAAUAAGAAAGAGUCAGAAAAACAAUUCUGGUAAUAUGAUAAAACAAGCCACUUUAACAUGCCCAAAAGAUCAUACUAGCUCACAAGCAAUGGAUCCAAACCAAGAAGAAAUCUCUGAAUUGCCAGAAAAAGAAUCCAUAAGAUAAAUUAUUAGGCAAAUUGAGGAGAACCCAGAGAAAUGUGAAGUCCAAUUUAAUGAAAUUUUAAAAAAGAAAACUGAGACAAGCUAUGAAGGGAAAAGUCUUAAGUGAAAUAAAUAGCAUAAAUCAAAAACAAUCACAACUUCUAGAAAUGAAGGACACACUUAGAGAAAUAAAAAAUACACUGGAAAGUCAUAGCAAUAGAAUUCAGUGAGCAAAAGACAGAACUUUCUUUUUUUUUAUUGCAUUUUAGGUUUUGGGGUACAUGUGCAGAACAUGCAAGAGAGUUGCAUAGGUACACACAUGGCAGUGUGUUUUGCUGCCUUCCUCCCUUUCACCCACAUUUGGCAUUUCUCCC